This 693-nucleotide ribosomal RNA is filed under the name Xanthopedia iheringii. RNAcentral describes it as "partial 28S ribosomal RNA". It matches the Rfam family "Eukaryotic large subunit ribosomal RNA", at positions 403 to 813 of the family's 3401-position model. Lineage: Eukaryota; Metazoa; Arthropoda; Insecta; Hymenoptera; Apidae. The record is from RNAcentral.
AACCGUUCAGGGGUAAACCUGAGAAACCCAAAAGAUCGAAUGGGGAGAUUCAUCGUCAACGGUGCCGGCUCCCGUUGGUGCGCGAUGCUCCGAAUGGGCGCAUAAUUGCGUCCCAUCGCGGUGGCACGCCACCUUCGGCUUGAAUCGUUCCGGUGCCGUAGUCGUGCACUUCUCCCCUAGUAGAACGUCGCGACCCGUUGUGUGUCGGUCUACGGCCCGAGCGGGUGACUGUCGCGUCGCGUUUUCGCGUACGCGGCAGACCCUCGGACGCCUGGCCGGCUGCACGACGGUACUCCCACGGUAUCGGGCCGCAACCAAUCCGAUUCUCGAAUCGUAUGUGCGUCUAGCCCGCCGCAAGCUAGAUCAGUUCUUACCCGGUGGUCGGACCUAGUGCCGUCCCCGGGCCUGAUCAGCUGUUUGCAGGCGGUGUCCUCGGACUGGCCAAACUUCGAAUUACCGGUCGGCGACGCUACUGCUUUGGGUACUCUCAGGACCCGUCUUGAAACACGGACCAAGGAGUCUAACAUGUGCGCGAGUCAUUGGGAUGCAUAAACCUAAAGGCGAAAUGAAAGUGAAGGUCGUUCCUUUUGCGUCGACCGAGGGAGGAUGGGCCGCGUUACUAGGCGGCCCCGCACUCCCGGGGCGUCUCGUUCUCAUUGCGAGAAGAGGCGCACCCAGAGCGUACACGUUGGG